GUAAUUUUUGAAGCCAGGAAUGAAAGGCUGGGGGGUUGCUUAAUCGCACUCCAAUAGACAUUGCUGAGUUGUCUUUGCUUACCUGCUGUGCAAAUGAACCCAAACGAGGAGUCUCAGGGCCCCUCCCAAGAGGAUGUUUCCUGACAAAAAUGGGGAAGACCUGUCUUAAAAACCAGCUGAGAACAACCAUAUGGUUUGGACAAGAGCCAAGGAGCAGGUAUUACCGAAGGUCUUCAUCGUGAGACGUACAACCCAAGCCUCCUUGCUGCUUCGGAAAUUCUGGGUGCUUUUUUAUUGGGGAAAGGGUAAAAGUCUAGCUUGUGGCAAGCUGGCGUGCAUUUUGUAGAGGAAAUGUAUUGCUGCAUCCAAACUGCCGAAGCGACUGAUUUCGGAGGAGGCUCUGGGCAGCUUUCUGCAACGUUGCUGCUGUUCUCUUUGCUGAAACCGUUCACCAUGCUUGAACUUCCCAGCUGACUGAGUGCAGAUAGUUCACCCUCACCUUCUAAUUCCUGGUGCUGCAGUGGGCUGCUUUCCUUUGAAAUCAGUCUCUGGUUGUCAAAACUGCAUGGUCCAUUCCUGCAGUGAGAAGGAUCCCAGGGAACUUCUUGACAAGGGGCUUGCGCCAAGCGGUGAAUUCCCAGUCUUGCAGAAGGCAUUUCAUAGGUAAAGGAGAAGAGAAAAAGAGAAGACCCAGCAUUGAUUGUUCUGACAGAAGCAUUCAAGAAAGCAGAAAUGUUGCAGAGUACAUCGCACAAAUAAACUGAUGAUAGAUGUGAAGUACGUGGCUCCUGUAAGAGUAAGCAUCAAGAUUAAGAACUCUACUUUCCUGACUAAAACCUUAUAUCAAAUACGUUCAUCUGUUUCACAUUCACGUUAGUGUUUCACUGCUGUGAAACUGAUUGAUAUAACCAUAAGACUGCCUUUUAGUGAAAUGAAUUAAAAAAAAACACACACAAUGAAGUGACAGAAAAGGAGUUCACUUUGUACCUCUCUUGAAGAUGUGAAUAAAAAGAACAAAGAAAGUUAUUCAGUAUUUAAAGUAAAAGAUUUACAUCUACAUUUACAUUGUUUCCUAGAAAUCUAAGCAUACCUGUUUUAAAUACAAUAAUGUGUGACUGCAGCUUUUGCUUCUGUUUUAUAUGGUCAUACUGCUCCUCAAGUAAGGUUACAUCCAUCUUGGUUGGCUGCUUAUCAUGAUCUGAAGCUUGUUGCUCUGAGGUAUGAGUCACUGAAAAAAUACCAGUUAUGUAUUUGUAAGCCUUUACCAUCUGUUCCCACAAGGAAGAAAAACUCAUGCAAAAGCAGGCCACUUCCUUCAUUGUACUGGCAAAAAAAAAA
Long non-coding RNA from Anas platyrhynchos (mallard), 1338 nucleotides. RefSeq lists it as uncharacterized. NCBI's taxonomy places the organism in Eukaryota, Metazoa, Chordata, Aves, Anseriformes, Anatidae. The record is from RefSeq and is a predicted model, not a curated record.